UACCGGUACAAGCCACUGUGCUCAGCCUCACUUUUAAAAUAUGCAUUUUUUUGUUUCUGAGAUUGUUUUUCUCUGUUAGUUAUCUGCAUUUCUUCUUUCCGUGAAUUACCUAUUCCCAUCCUUUGUGCAUUUUUGUAUUUUUUUCUCAUUGAUUUAUCAAGGUCUUUAUGAUGCUGCUUCCUAACAUUGUAUAUAUACUGCUUCACAAUUUAUAAAGCACUUUUCCUAUGUGUAAUAACACUCGAUCCAGUUCUGAGUUGCAUUUUGUGGUCUCAGAAUAGUUAGCCUAACCUGCCUUCAGUCUUCCUGCUAGUGAGAGGAGUCUGGACUCCCACUCAGAUUUCCAGAUCCUAAAAUGAAUGUUCCUUUUGCUACACUGCAGUUUGCAAUUUCCAUCUUCCAAAUCCAGGAGUAUUUUGGGAAGGUUUUGUUUUUCUGACAUCUGUUCCACAAGAGCAGAGCUCAUGAAUGGCCAUGAUUUAAUUCCCCAAGUCUCUGCUGGAGCCUUCCCAGCUGUCAUGAGGUUGAGUAUGGCUUUAUCAUCAUGAAACAAGUCAUCAGAGUCUUUGAAUCUUGCGUAGGAAUUGGAAGUCGGGGUAUACCAGGAUAGGUUUUCAGCACCAGGUGUGGCACUCACCCUCCGGUAUGCUUGGCAGAGUUUGUGAAGCGGCUCCGGUACUGCGAAUACCUAGGGAAGUAUUUCUGUGACUGCUGCCACUCAUAUGCAGAGUCGUGCAUCCCUGCCCGAAUCCUGAUGAUGUGGGACUUCAAGAAGUACUACGUCAGCAAUUUCUCCAAACGGCUGCUCGACAGCAUAUGGCACCAGCCCAUUUUCAAUUUGCUGAGCAUCGGCCAAAGCCUGUAUGCGAAAGCCAAGGAGCUGGACAGAGUGAAGGAAAUUCAGGAGCAGCUCUUCCAUAUCAAGAAGCUGUUGAAGACCUGUAGGUUUGCUAACAGUGCAUUAAAGGAGUUCGAGCAGGUGCCGGGACACUUGACUGAUGAGCUCCACCUGUUCUCCCUUGAGGACCUGGUCAGGAUCAAGAAAGGGCUGCUGGCACCCUUACUCAAGGACAUUCUGAAAGCUUCCCUUGCACAUGUGGCUGGCUGUGAGCUGUGUCAAGGAAAGGGCUUUAUUUGUGAAUUUUGCCAGAAUACGACUGUCAUCUUCCCAUUUCAGACAGCAACAUGUAGAAGAUGUUCAGCGUGCAGGGCUUGCUUUCACAAACAGUGCUUCCAGUCCUCCGAGUGCCCCCGGUGUGCGAGGAUCACAGUGAGGAGAAAACUUCUGGAAAGUGUGGCCUCUGCAGCAACAUGAUGCCCCUGAGUACUGUGAAAAAGACUGUUCAACAUGCCUUAUGAUAACACCGAUUUGUGUCUAUUAUUGGUGACGUUGUUUUAGAUAUUGGGUAUUGUAUAUUAAGGAAAAAGAUGGUCUAUAUUCUCUUUAUUGCAUAUACUUAAUGUUUCAAAAGAAUGCAGAUUCUGUGUUUAAGCACAGGGCUGAUAGUAGUGGUUUUGUUUACAAAUGUUCUGUUUUGGCUGCUAUUGGUUUUUUAAAGAGGUUUUUUAUACUUUUGUAUUUGAAUAGUUAUGUUUCACUGAUGCUGAGCCAGUUUGUAUGUGUGUGCAUAUAUGUGAACUGUAACUGACAAGAUGAAUUACUCAAUUUCUCUUCCUCUAAAGCUUGUUUGAUGAAACUGGUUGGUCCUUUCAGUGAACAAAAAUAUGACCCCAAA
RNAcentral lists this small RNA (1736 nucleotides) under Pan troglodytes (chimpanzee). RNAcentral's name for it is "retained intron". Lineage: Eukaryota; Metazoa; Chordata; Mammalia; Primates; Hominidae. The record is from RNAcentral.